CCUCUUUCUACUGCUAAUACCUCUUCCUAUACAACCAAGCAUUCUGCUAGCAUUUCCUGCUGCUCUAUUACAUUGUCUGCCUACCUUUAAGUCAUCAGAAAUAAUCACCCCUAAAUCCCUUUCCUCAUAUGUUGAGGUUAGGACUCUAUCAAAUAUUGUGUACUCUGCCCUUGGGUUUUUACGUCCAAGAUGCAUUAUCUUGCACUUAUCCACAUUAAAUGUCAGUUGCCACAAUUCUGACCAUUUUUCUAGUUUACCUAAAUCAUUUGUCAUUUGGCUUAUCCCUCCUGGAACAUCAACCCUGUUACAUAUCUUAGUAUCAUCAGCAAAAAGACAUACCUUACCAUCAAGACCUU
Molecule: non-coding RNA, 356 nt
Organism: Pelobates cultripes (western spadefoot toad)
Lineage: Eukaryota; Metazoa; Chordata; Amphibia; Anura; Pelobatidae
Source: the annotation of a GenBank genome assembly